Molecule: ribosomal RNA, 253 nt
Filed under: uncultured bacterium
Lineage: Bacteria
Description: partial 16S ribosomal RNA
Rfam family: Bacterial small subunit ribosomal RNA
Source: RNAcentral
GACGGAGGAUGCAAGCGUUAUCCGGAAUUAUUGGGCGUAAAGCGUCCGCAGGUGGCUGUUCAAGUCUGCUGUCAAAGCGCAGAGCUUAACUCUGUACAGGCGGUGGAAACUGAAGAGCUAGAGUAUGGUAGGGGUAGAGGGAAUUCCCGGUGUAGCGGUGAAAUGCGUAGAUAUCGGGGGGAAUACCAGUGGCGAAAGCGGCACCCUAGCGUUAGCCUGACGCUCAUGUGCGAAAGCGUGGGGAGCGAACGGG